This 304-nucleotide unclassified non-coding RNA is filed under the name plant metagenome. RNAcentral describes it as "partial contains 5.8S ribosomal RNA, internal transcribed spacer 2, and large subunit ribosomal RNA". The stretch from base 1 to 105 matches the Rfam family "5.8S ribosomal RNA", at positions 50 to 154 of the family's 154-position model. The record is from RNAcentral.
GAAAUGCGAUAAGUAAUGUGAAUUGCAGAAUUCUGUGAAUCAUCGAAUCUUUGAACGCACAUUGCGCCCCCUGGCAUUCCGGGGGGCAUGCCUGUCCGAGCGUCAUUUCUGCCCUCAAGCACGGCUUGUGUGUUGGGUGUGGUCCCCCCGGGGACCUGCCCGAAAGGCAGCGGCGACGUCCGUCUGGUCCUCGAGCGUAUGGGGCUCUGUCACUCGCUCGGGAAGGACCUGCGGGGGUUGGUCACCACCAUAUUUCACCACGGUUGACCUCGGAUCAGGUAGGAGUUACCCGCUGAACUUAAGC